RNAcentral lists this ribosomal RNA (395 nucleotides) under uncultured bacterium. RNAcentral describes it as "partial 16S ribosomal RNA". It matches the Rfam family "Bacterial small subunit ribosomal RNA", at positions 338 to 730 of the family's 1533-position model. The record is from RNAcentral.
CCUACGGGAGGCAGCAGUGAGGAAUAUUGGUCAAUGGACGCAAGUCUGAACCAGCCAUGCCGCGUGCAGGAAGACGGCUCUAUGAGUUGUAAACCGCUUUUGUACGAGGGUAAAUCCCGAUACGUGUAUCGGGCUGAAAGUAUCGUACGAAUAAGGAUCGGCUAACUCCGUGCCAGCAGCCGCGGUAAUACGGAGGAUUCAAGCGUUAUCCGGAUUUAUUGGGUUUAAAGGGUGCGUAGGCGGUUCGAUAAGUUAGAGGUGAAAUCCCGGGGCUCAACCCCGGCAGUGCCUCUGAUACUGUCGGGCUAGAGUUGAGGUGCGGUAGGCGGAAUGUGUGGUGUAGCGGUGAAAUGCAUAGAGAUCAUACAGAACACCGAUUGCGAAGGCAGCGUACC